Molecule: ribosomal RNA, 482 nt
Filed under: uncultured bacterium
Lineage: Bacteria
Description: partial 16S ribosomal RNA
Rfam family: Bacterial small subunit ribosomal RNA
Source: RNAcentral
AUUGAACGCUGGCGGCAUGCUUUACACAUGCAAGUCGAACGGUACCAGGCCGCAAGGUGCUGACGAGUGGCGAACGGGUGAGUAAUGCAUCGGAACGUGCCCAGUCGUGGGGGAUAACUACUCGAAAGAGUAGCUAAUACCGCAUACGAUCUAUGGAUGAAAGCGGGGGACCGUAAGGCCUCGCGCGAUUGGAGCGGCCGAUGUCAGAUUAGGUAGUUGGUGGGGUAAAGGCUCACCAAGCCAACGAUCUGUAGCUGGUCUGAGAGGACAACCAGCCACACUGGGACUGAGACACGGCCCAGACUCCUACGGGAGGCAGCAGUGGGGAAUUUUGGACAAUGGGCGCAAGCCUGAUCCAGCAAUGCCGCGUGCAGGAAGAAGGCCUUCGGGUUGUAAACUGCUUUUGUACGGAACGAAACGGCUCUGGUUAAUACCCGGGGCUAAUGACGGUACCGUAAGAAUAAGCACCGGCUAACUACGUG